This 550-nucleotide ribosomal RNA is filed under the name Brevundimonas sp. PE-R2A-13. Its description in RNAcentral is "bacterial SSU rRNA". It matches the Rfam family "Bacterial small subunit ribosomal RNA", at positions 97 to 682 of the family's 1533-position model. Lineage: Bacteria; Pseudomonadati; Pseudomonadota; Alphaproteobacteria; Caulobacterales; Caulobacteraceae. The record is from RNAcentral.
GGCGGACGGGUGAGUAACACGUGGGAACGUGCCUUUAGGUUCGGAAUAGCUCCUGGAAACGGGUGGUAAUGCCGAAUGUGCCCUUCGGGGGAAAGAUUUAUCGCCUUUAGAGCGGCCCGCGUCUGAUUAGCUUGUUGGUGAGGUAAUGGCUCACCAAGGCUACGAUCAGUAGCUGGUCUGAGAGGAUGACCAGCCACAUUGGGACUGAGACACGGCCCAAACUCCUACGGGAGGCAGCAGUGGGGAAUCUUGCGCAAUGGGCGAAAGCCUGACGCAGCCAUGCCGCGUGGAUGAUGAAGGUCUUAGGAUUGUAAAAUCCUUUCACCGGUGAAGAUAAUGACUGUAGCCGGAGAAGAAGCCCCGGCUAACUUCGUGCCAGCAGCCGCGGUAAUACGAAGGGGGCUAGCGUUGCUCGGAAUUACUGGGCGUAAAGGGAGCGUAGGCGGACAUUUAAGUCAGGGGUGAAAUCCCAGAGCUCAACUCUGGAACUGCCUUUGAUACUGGGUGUCUUGAGUGUGAUAGAGGUAUGUGGAACUCCGAGUGUAGAGGU